UCUACGGGAGGCAGCAGUGAGGAAUUUUCCGCAAUGGUCGCAAGACUGACGGAGCAACGCCGCGUGCAGGAGGACGCUUUUCGGAGUGUAAACUGCUUUUCUGUGGGACGAGCAAGGACGGUACCACAGGAAGAAGCCCCGGCUAACUACGUGCCAGCAGCCGCGGUAAUACGUAGGGGGCGAGCGUUGUCCGGAGUUACUGGGCGUAAAGGGCACGCAGGCGGUGCUGCGCGUUUCGCGUGACAGCGGGUGGCUUAACUGCCCGAGGAUGCGAAAGACGGCAGGACUUGAGGGCCAGAGAGGGACACGGAAUUCCGGGUGGAGUGGUGAAAUGCGUAGAGAUCCGGAGGAACACCGAAGGCGAAGGCAGUGUCCUGGCUGGUGACUGACGCUGAGGUGCGAAAGCCAGGGGAGCGAACGGGAUUAGAUACCCCGGUAGUCCUGGCCGUAAACGAUGACCACCAGGUGUGGGAGGUAUCGACCCCUUCCGUGCCGGAGUAAACACACUAAGUGGUCCGCCUGGGGAGUACGGUCGCAAGAUUAAAACUCAAAUGAAUUGACGGA
Molecule: ribosomal RNA, 564 nt
Filed under: uncultured bacterium
Lineage: Bacteria
Description: bacterial SSU rRNA
Rfam family: Bacterial small subunit ribosomal RNA
Source: RNAcentral